UGACUUGCUAGAGUUGGACCCUUCCACACUUUGGUUUGAUGAUAGGCCGGUGAAGAAUGUGCUCUCCGACUCGCUAACCGGCUACUAUGUUCAGCCUUGGAGGAAUUAUGGAGAGGUUGAUGAAGAUUCGAGAGAGCACUUUUGGAACUUGUUCAACAAAAAAUUCAAGUGGGCACCUGAGUUAAACAACCAAGUGAAGGACACUUUCGAAGAAAAGUUUGCAAAU
Molecule: long non-coding RNA, 226 nt
Organism: Chenopodium quinoa (quinoa)
Lineage: Eukaryota; Viridiplantae; Streptophyta; Magnoliopsida; Caryophyllales; Amaranthaceae
Exons: 3
Source: RefSeq, a predicted model, not a curated record